CCUACGGGGGGCAGCAGUGGGGGAUAUUGCACAAUGGGGGGAACCCUGAUGCAGCGACGCCGCGUGGGUGAAGAAGCGCCUCGGCGCGUAAAGCCCUGUCAGCAGGGAAGAAAAUGACGGUACCUGAAGAAGAAGCCCCGGCUAACUACGUGCCAGCAGCCGCGGUAAUACGUAGGGGGCAAGCGUUAUCCGGAUUUACUGGGUGUAAAGGGGGCGCAGACGGCGAUGCAAGCCAGGAGUGAAAGCCCGGGGCCCAACCCCGGGACUGCUCUUGGAACUGCGUGGCUGGAGUGCAGGAGGGGCAGGCGGAAUUCCAGGUGUAGCGGUGGAAUGCGUAGAUAUCAGGAGGAACACCGGUGGCGAAGGCGGCCUGCUGGACUGCAACUGACGUUGAGGCCCGAAAGCGUGGGGAGCAAACAGGAUUAGAUACCCCGGUAGUC
RNAcentral lists this ribosomal RNA (440 nucleotides) under uncultured bacterium. RNAcentral describes it as "partial 16S ribosomal RNA". It matches the Rfam family "Bacterial small subunit ribosomal RNA", at positions 338 to 795 of the family's 1533-position model. The record is from RNAcentral.